This 329-nucleotide ribosomal RNA is filed under the name uncultured Clostridium sp. Its description in RNAcentral is "bacterial SSU rRNA". It matches the Rfam family "Bacterial small subunit ribosomal RNA", at positions 568 to 898 of the family's 1533-position model. Lineage: Bacteria; Bacillati; Bacillota; Clostridia; Eubacteriales; Clostridiaceae. The record is from RNAcentral.
UGCGUAGGUGGUUUUUUAAGUCAGAAGUGAAAGGCUACGGCUCAACCGUAGUAAGCUUUUGAAACUGAGAAACUUGAGUGCAGGAGAGGAGAGUAGAAUUCCUAGUGUAGCGGUGAAAUGCGUAGAUAUUAGGAGGAAUACCAGUUGCGAAGGCGGCUCUCUGGACUGUAACUGACACUGAGGCACGAAAGCGUGGGGAGCAAACAGGAUUAGAUACCCUGGUAGUCCACGCCGUAAACGAUGAGUACUAGGUGUCGGGGGUUACCCCCCUCGGUGCCGCAGCUAACGCAUUAAGUACUCCGCCUGGGAAGUACGCUCGCAAGAGUGAA